RNAcentral lists this ribosomal RNA (498 nucleotides) under uncultured bacterium. RNAcentral's name for it is "bacterial SSU rRNA". It matches the Rfam family "Bacterial small subunit ribosomal RNA", at positions 28 to 511 of the family's 1533-position model. The record is from RNAcentral.
GACGAACGCUGGCGGCGUGCCUAACACAUGCAAGUCGUACGGGACUUGGGGGCAACUCCAAGUUCAGUGGCAGACGGGUGCGUAACACGUGAAGAACUUGUCCGGUGGCGGGGGAUAGCCGGCCCAACGGCCGGGUAAUACCGCAUACGAUCGCGCGGGGGCAUCUCUGCGCGAGGAAAGCAGCCGCAAGGUUGCGCCGACGGAGAGCUUCGCGGCCUAUCAGCUAGUUGGCGGGGUAACGGCCCACCAAGGCGACGACGGGUAGCUGGUCUGAGAGGAUGAUCAGCCACAUUGGGACUGAGACACGGCCCAGACUCCUACGGGAGGCAGCAGUGGGGAAUAUUGCGCAAUGGCCGCAAGGCUGACGCAGCGACGCCGCGUGUGGGAUGACGGUCUUCGGAUUGUAAACCACUGUCAGGGGGAACGAAUACAGGGCGUCGAAUAGGCGACCCUGGGUGACGGUACCUCCAAAGGAAGCACCGGCUAACUCCGUGCCAG